UACGUAGGGUGCAGGCGUUAAUCGGAAUUACUGGGCGUAAAGCGUGCGCAGGCGGUUUCUUAAGUCAGAUGUGAAAGCCCCGGGCUUAACCUGGGAACUGCGUUUGAAACUGGGAGACUUGAGUGUGGCAGAGGGGGGUGGAAUUCCGACGUGUAGCAGCGAAAUGCGUAGAUAUGUGGAGGAACACCGAUGGCGAAGGCAGCCCCCUGGGUUAACACUGACGCUCAUGCACGAAAGCGUGGGGAGCAAACAGG
This 254-nucleotide ribosomal RNA is filed under the name uncultured bacterium. Its description in RNAcentral is "partial 16S ribosomal RNA". It matches the Rfam family "Bacterial small subunit ribosomal RNA", at positions 524 to 776 of the family's 1533-position model. The record is from RNAcentral.